This 615-nucleotide ribosomal RNA is filed under the name uncultured bacterium. RNAcentral's name for it is "bacterial SSU rRNA". It matches the Rfam family "Bacterial small subunit ribosomal RNA", at positions 338 to 950 of the family's 1533-position model. The record is from RNAcentral.
CCUACGGGAGGCAGCAGUAAGGGAAUAUUGGACAAUGGGGGCAACCCUGAUCCAGCCAUGCCGCGUGAAGGAUGAAGGCGCUAUGCGUUGUAAACUUCUUUUAAACGGGAGAAAACCCUCUUACGUGUAAGAGGCUGAUAGUACCGUUAGAAUAAGGAUCGGCUAACUCCGUGCCAGCAGCCGCGGUAAUACGGAGGAUCCAAGCGUUAUCCGGAUUCAUUGGGUUUAAAGGGUGCGUAGGCGGACUGAUAAGUCAGCGGUUGAAAUCCCACGGCUCAACUGUGGAACUGCCGUUGAUACUGUCAGUCUUGAGUACAGAUGAUGUGGGCGGAAUAUGACAUGUAGUGGUGAAAUACUUAGAUAUGUCAUAGAACACCGAUUGCGAAGGCAGCUCACAAAACUGUUACUGACGCUGAAGCACGAAAGCGUGGGGAUCAAACAGGAUUAGAUACCCUGGUAGUCCACGCCCUAAACGAUGAUUACUCGAUGUUGGCGAUACACCGUCCAGCGUCCAAGCGAAAGCGUUAAGUAAUCCACCUGGGGAGUACGGUCGCAAGGCUGAAACGUCAAAUGAAAUUGAGGCNGAGAGAGACGAGGACGACGACGAGGGAGAGG